UGGGCCUACGGGGGGCAGCAGUGGGGAAUAUUGGACAAUGGGGGAAACCCUGAUCCAGCGACGCCGCGUGAGUGAAGAAGUAUUUCGGUACGUAAAGCUCUAUCAGCAGGAAAGAAAAUGACGGUACCUGACUAAGAAGCCCCGGCUAACUACGUGCCAGCAGCCGCGGUAAUACGUAGGGAGCGAGCGUUGUCCGGAUUUACUGGGUGUAAAGGGUGCGUAGGCGGCUUGGCAAGUCAGUAGUGAAAUCCAUGGGCUUAACCCAUGAACUGCUAUUGAAACUGUCGAGCUUGAGUGAAG
RNAcentral lists this ribosomal RNA (300 nucleotides) under uncultured bacterium. RNAcentral's name for it is "bacterial SSU rRNA". It matches the Rfam family "Bacterial small subunit ribosomal RNA", at positions 334 to 651 of the family's 1533-position model. The record is from RNAcentral.